CCGGAGGGAGAUCUGGGUCACCUGGAGCCAAAAGACCGUAUGGCCCAGGCCGUGAGACUGCCCUACGCCCACCCUCUGGCCUGGGAGCAGGUCGAACAUGUUCUCCAUGUCGAUGAAGUUUGUCUGGAUCAUCCUGCAAAAACAGCGCUGGCUGGGGCUCCUCUGAGGAGCUGGGGAAAUAACCAUGCACCCCGGACAGCCCAAGUUGUACUCCUCUUGGCCCUGGCAAUUCUGUGAGGCUAGGCCACUGCUCUUAGCUGGCAUCAAACGAGCAUCCUCACCU
This is a non-coding RNA of Callorhinus ursinus (northern fur seal), 283 nucleotides long. Lineage: Eukaryota; Metazoa; Chordata; Mammalia; Carnivora; Otariidae. The record is from RefSeq and is a predicted model, not a curated record.